This 409-nucleotide ribosomal RNA is filed under the name Bacillus sp. GUFBSama06-9. RNAcentral describes it as "bacterial SSU rRNA". It matches the Rfam family "Bacterial small subunit ribosomal RNA", at positions 40 to 437 of the family's 1533-position model. Lineage: Bacteria; Bacillati; Bacillota; Bacilli; Caryophanales; Bacillaceae. The record is from RNAcentral.
CGGCGUGCCUAUUACAUGCAAGUCGAGCGAAUGGAUUAAGAGCUUGCUCUUAUGAAGUUAGCGGCGGACGGGUGAGUAACACGUGGGUAACCUGCCCAUAAGACUGGGAUAACUCCGGGAAACCGGGGCUAAUACCGGAUAACAUUUUGAACCGCAUGGUUCGAAAUUGAAAGGCGGCUUCGGCUGUCACUUAUGGAUGGACCCGCGUCGCAUUAGCUAGUUGGUGAGGUAACGGCUCACCAAGGCAACGAUGCGUAGCCGACCUGAGAGGGUGAUCGGCCACACUGGGACUGAGACACGGCCCAGACUCCUACGGGAGGCAGCAGUAGGGAAUCUUCCGCAAUGGACAGAAGUCUGACGGAGCAACGCCGCGUGAGUGAUGAAGGCUUUCGGGGCGGAAAAGUCUGUU